CGAGACCUCAGGUCAGACGGGGCUACCCGCUGAGUUUAAGCAUAUCAAUAAGCGGAGGAAAAGAAACUAACAAGGAUUCCCUUAGUAACG
RNAcentral lists this ribosomal RNA (90 nucleotides) under Lonchocarpus costaricensis. Its description in RNAcentral is "partial 28S ribosomal RNA". It matches the Rfam family "Eukaryotic large subunit ribosomal RNA", at positions 1 to 88 of the family's 3401-position model. Lineage: Eukaryota; Viridiplantae; Streptophyta; Magnoliopsida; Fabales; Fabaceae. The record is from RNAcentral.